CACAUACCAUUGUCACUACCACUACUGCCAAUAUCACCGUGGUCACUUUCGAUCACCACCACCAACACAAUCUAAUAGCGCUACCAUCUCCCUCACGAUGCUUCAAGGCAGAGACGGUGGGAGACUCUUAAGGUUGGGAUUCAACCUUAUUUUAAUAGAGCUACCAUCACCAACACAGUCCUACUGUCAGCAACAUGGACACAUACACAGCCCCAACAACCUACCAUUACAGACCACCCAAACACCACCAAAAAAAUCAAAUCCAAAUUUAUUAAUCACCGCCACGACCACCAACAAUAUCGCACCACGACAACCACCAACAUUACACCAACUCUGCCUCCUCCCUUUCCUCUUCGACCAAUACCUGUUUCUCGAACCAUAGCCCAAAACUAGAACAAAGCCAAUAUCACCACCAACUCAACAUCACAACCACCAACUGCAAACACUGUCAACAAAAUCACUACACAGCCUAAUAAAAAAUUAGAUUGCAUCAACUGUAGUGGCAACAGCAUCAUUGCGUAUAUCCAAAAUGAGAUCCAAUCGACUAAAGCACAACGACAUCAUCUCUUCUUUCGGCACAGCGUCACGUGUGUAGCGACGUUACAGUACCGCAACGUGAUGUAUUUCGUUGAUGUCAUUUCUUCCGACGGUGUUUUUGGGGAUUGGGUAAAGGUCGCGCGACACACCUGAGGCAGAGGUCUUUGCAGUUGCGGUAUUCUUGGGCAAAGGCACCUGGGGGCAAAGGUCCUCACAGUCGACGCCACUCUCUUGCAAUGGCGUUGAUCCUCUUAUCGGCGCCGAUCCUAUUGUUGGCACCGAAGAGAGAAGAUAGAGAGUGAAUAUGAUGGGAUGUGAAUUAGUAAUAU
RNAcentral lists this long non-coding RNA (866 nucleotides) under Olea europaea subsp. europaea. The record is from RNAcentral. Lineage: Eukaryota; Viridiplantae; Streptophyta; Magnoliopsida; Lamiales; Oleaceae.